GCAGGUGUCUAACCAUGAUGUCAGAACUGUCUAUGGUGUAGGUGUCAUAGUAUCAGUCAGUCAGGUGUUCACAUAGGUGUCUCAAGAUACAGGUGUCUAACCCUGAUGAUAGAACUGUCCCUGGUAUAGGUGUCAGUCACAGUCAGGUGUCUCAAGAUACAGGUGUCUAACUCUGAUGUCAGAAUUGUCUAUGGUGUAAGUGUCAGUCUCAGUCAGGUGUCUCAAGAUGCAGGUGUCUAACCCUGAUAGAACUGUCCCUGGUAUAGGUGUCAGUCACAGUCAGGUGUUCACAUAGGUGUCUCAAGAUGCAGGUGUCUAACCCUGAUGACAACUGUCCAUGGUGUAGGUGUCAGUCUCAGUCAGAUGUUCCAGCAGGUGUCUAACCCUGAUGACAACUGUCCAUGGUGUAGGUGUCACAGUCUCAGUCAGAUGUUCCAGCAGGUGUCUAACCCUGAUGACAGAACUGUCCAUGGUGUAGGUGUCAGUCUCAGUCAGAUGUUCCAGCAGGUGUCUCAAGCUGCAGGUGUCUAACUCUGAUGACAGAACUGUCC
Long non-coding RNA from Haliotis rubra (blacklip abalone), 551 nucleotides. RefSeq lists it as uncharacterized. NCBI's taxonomy places the organism in Eukaryota, Metazoa, Mollusca, Gastropoda, Lepetellida, Haliotidae. The record is from RefSeq and is a predicted model, not a curated record. The transcript is spliced from 6 exons.